Molecule: ribosomal RNA, 465 nt
Filed under: uncultured bacterium
Lineage: Bacteria
Description: partial 16S ribosomal RNA
Rfam family: Bacterial small subunit ribosomal RNA
Source: RNAcentral
ACGCACGCUGGCGGCGCGCCUAACACAUGCAAGUCGAACGAGCGAGAGAGAGCUUGCUUUCUCAAGCGAGUGGCGAACGGGUGAGUAACGCGUGAGGAACCUGCCUCAAAGAGGGGGACAACAGUUGGAAACGACUGCUAAUACCGCAUAAGCCCACGACCCGGCAUCGGGUAGAGGGAAAAGGAGCAAUCCGCUUUGAGAUGGCCUCGCGUCCGAUUAGCUAGUUGGUGAGGUAACGGCCCACCAAGGCGACGAUCGGUAGCCGGACUGAGAGGUUGAACGGCCACAUUGGGACUGAGACACGGCCCAGACUCCUACGGGAGGCAGCAGUGGGGAAUAUUGCACAAUGGGGGAAACCCUGAUGCAGCGACGCCGCGUGGAGGAAGAAGGUCUUCGGAUUGUAAACUCCUGUUGUGGAGGAAGAUAAUGACGGUACUCAACAAGGAAGUGACGGCUAACUACGUG